Molecule: ribosomal RNA, 253 nt
Filed under: uncultured bacterium
Lineage: Bacteria
Description: partial 16S ribosomal RNA
Rfam family: Bacterial small subunit ribosomal RNA
Source: RNAcentral
GACGUAGGGCGCGAGCGUUGUCCGGAUUUAUUGGGCGUAAAGAGCUCGUAGGCGGCUUGUUGCGUCGACUGUGAAAACCCGCGGCUUAACUGCGGGCUUGCAGUUGAUACGGGCAGGCUAGAGUUCGGUAGGGGAGACUGGAAUUCCUGGUGUAGCGGUGAAAUGCGCAGAUAUCAGGAGGAACACCGGUGGCGAAGGCGGGUCGCUGGGACGGUACUGACGCUGAGACGCGAAAGCGUGGGGAGCAAACAGG